This is a long non-coding RNA of Empidonax traillii (willow flycatcher), 94 nucleotides long. RefSeq lists it as uncharacterized. Lineage: Eukaryota; Metazoa; Chordata; Aves; Passeriformes; Tyrannidae. The transcript has 3 exons. The record is from RefSeq and is a predicted model, not a curated record.
CCCCUCAGCCUCCUCUACUCCAGGCUGAACAAGCCAAGUGAUCUCAGCCAAUCCUCAUAAGGCUUGCCCUCUAGACCCUUCACCAUCUUUGUUG